UGGGAAUUUGGACAAUGGGGCAACCCUGAUCCAGCAAUGCCGCGUGUGUGAAGAAGGCCUUCGGGUUGUAAAGCACUUUUGUCCGGAAAGAAAACGUCGUGGUUAAUACCCGUGGCGGCUGACGGUACCGGAAGAAUAAGCACCGGCUAACUACGUGCCAGCAGCCGCGGUAAUACGUAGGGUGCAAGCGUUAAUCGGAAUUACUGGGCGUAAAGCGUGCGCAGGCGGUCCGCUAAGACAGAUGUGAAAUCCCCGGGCUUAACCUGGGAACUGCAUUUGUGACUGGCGGGCUAGAGUAUGGCAGAGGGGGGUAGAAUUCCACGUGUAGCAGUGAAAUGCGUAGAGAUGUGGAGGAAUACCGAUGGCGAAGGCAGCCCCCUGGGCCAAUACUACGCUCAUCACGAAAGCGUGGGGAGCAAACAGGAUUAGAUACCCUGGUAGUCCACGCCCUAAACGAUGUCAACUAGUUGUCGGGUCUU
RNAcentral lists this ribosomal RNA (479 nucleotides) under uncultured bacterium. RNAcentral's name for it is "partial 16S ribosomal RNA". It matches the Rfam family "Bacterial small subunit ribosomal RNA", at positions 357 to 831 of the family's 1533-position model. The record is from RNAcentral.